ACCUUCGGGUGUGUAUAAAGUGGCGAACGGCUGAGUAACACGUGGGCAACCUGCCCCUCUCAUUGGGAUAGCCACGGGAAACCGUGGAUAAUACCGAAUACUUCGGGACUUCCGCAUGGAAGACUCGAGAAAGCUCCGGCGGAGAGGGAUGGGCCCGCGGCCUGUUAGCUUGUUGGUGGGGUAACGGCCUACCAAGGCAAUGAUGGGUAGCUGGGUUGAGAGACCGACCAGCCAGAUUGGGACUGAGACACGGCCCAGACUCCUACGGGAGGCAGCAGUGGGGAAUCUUGCACAAUGGGCGAAAGCCUGAUGCAGCGACGCCGCGUGCGGGAUGAAGGCCUUCGGGUUGUAAACCGCUUUCAGCAGGGACGAGGCGAAAGUGACGGUACCUGCAGAAGAAGCCCCGGCUAACUACGUGCCAGCAGCCGCGGUAAUACGUAGGGGGCAAGCGUUAUCCGGAUUCAUUGGGCGUAAAGCGCUCGUAGGCGGUCUGUUAGGUCGGGAGUUAAAUCCGGGGGCUCAACCCCCGUUCGCUCCCGAUACCGGCAGACUUGAGUUUGGUAGGGGAAGGUGGAAUUCCUAGUGUAGCGGUGGAAUGCGCAGAUAUUAGGAAGAACACCAGUGGCGAAGGCGGCCUUCUGGGCCAUAACUGACGCUGAGGAGCGAAAGCUAGGGGAGCAAACAGGAUUAGAUACCCUGGUAGUCCUAGCCGUAAACGAUGGACACUAGGUGUGGGGGAAUAUUUCUUCCGUGCCGCAGCUAACGCAUUAAGUGUCCCGCUGGGAGUACGG
Molecule: ribosomal RNA, 791 nt
Filed under: uncultured Atopobium sp.
Lineage: Bacteria; Bacillati; Actinomycetota; Coriobacteriia; Coriobacteriales; Atopobiaceae
Description: bacterial SSU rRNA
Rfam family: Bacterial small subunit ribosomal RNA
Source: RNAcentral